This 409-nucleotide long non-coding RNA is filed under the name Brassica napus (rape). RNAcentral describes it as "long non-coding RNA (BNAP_LNC007122)". The record is from RNAcentral. Lineage: Eukaryota; Viridiplantae; Streptophyta; Magnoliopsida; Brassicales; Brassicaceae.
GGCAGGUGGAGUUCGAACCCUUACUCAAUGGGGGCAAUGUAGAGGUUUUAACCAUUUGAGCUGUUGGGUCAUACAUAACUUCUAUGCAUUUUAAUUUAUUUUGUAAAUUUUAGUGGGGGCAGCUGCCCCCUUCUUGGACACUGUAGAUUCGCCGCUGAGUCUACUACUUCCCCGUACCAAAUGUUACACAUCAGACGACAAAUUAAACUGAUGCUGAUACAACUUUUCUUUUUCUAUUCUUACGUGACCAAAGUUUUGAGGGUAAUUAAAUAGGGUUUCCUUGGUUUAUAAAGACUUACUUUUUGAUUAAACUAGAGUUUUGAAUCCUUGAUUUACACACCUGCUUUCUCAUGUCUUCAAACUUCGGUUCAUACUUUAUAGUAAAAUUGCUGACAUGAAAUAAAACUGA